UACGGGGGGGGCAAGCGUUGUUCGGAAUUACUGGGCGUAAAGGGCUCGUAGGCGGCCAACUAAGUCCGACGUGAAAUCCCCAGGCUCAACCUGGGAACUGCGUCGGAUACUGGAUGGCUUGAAUUCGGGAGAGGGAUGCAGAAUUCCAGGUGUAGCGGUGAAAUGCGUAGAUAUCUGGAGGAACACCGGUGGCGAAGGCGGCGUCCUGGACCAAUACUGACACUGAGGAGCGAAAGCCAGGGGAGCAAACGGG
RNAcentral lists this ribosomal RNA (253 nucleotides) under uncultured bacterium. Its description in RNAcentral is "partial 16S ribosomal RNA". It matches the Rfam family "Bacterial small subunit ribosomal RNA", at positions 524 to 776 of the family's 1533-position model. The record is from RNAcentral.